AAUGAACGCUGGCGGCGUGCCUAACACAUGCAAGUCGAGCGAGAAACCUUCCUUCCGGGGAGGCGGACAGCGGCAGACGGGUGAGUAACGCGUGGGAACGUACCCUUUGGUUCGGAACAACUCCGGGAAACUGGAGCUAAUACCGGAUAAGCCCUACGGGGGAAAGAUUUAUCGCCGAAGGAUCGGCCCGCGGUCUGAUUAGCUAGUUGGUGGGGUAAUGGCCCACCAAGGCGACGAUCAGUAGCUGGUCUGAGAGGAUGAUCAGCCACACUGGGACUGAGACACGGCCCAGACUCCUACGGGAGGCAGCAGUAGGGAAUAUUGGACAAUGGGCGAAAGCCUGAUCCAGCCAUGCCGCGUGAGUGAUGAAGGCCCUAGGGUUGUAAAGCUCUUUCGGCGGGGACGAUAAUGACGGUACCCGCAGAAGAAGCCCCGGCUAACUUCGUG
This 447-nucleotide ribosomal RNA is filed under the name uncultured bacterium. Its description in RNAcentral is "bacterial SSU rRNA". It matches the Rfam family "Bacterial small subunit ribosomal RNA", at positions 29 to 507 of the family's 1533-position model. The record is from RNAcentral.